Molecule: ribosomal RNA, 372 nt
Filed under: uncultured eukaryote
Lineage: Eukaryota
Description: partial 18S ribosomal RNA
Rfam family: Eukaryotic small subunit ribosomal RNA
Source: RNAcentral
CAAUAGCGUAUACUAAUGUUGUUGCAGUUAAAAAGCUCGUAGUUGAAUUUCUGGAUCUGGCUGACGGGUCUGCUUCAUUGCACGACACCGACAGGCAGUCCAUCCUAGUGGGGCGGCGCGUGCGUUCACUCGUGCGCGUGUGCCCUGCUUCUUUUACUGUGAAAAAAUCAGAGUGUUCAAAGCAAGCGUUCGCUUGAAUACAUUAGCAUGGAAUAAUGAGAUAGGACUUUGGCCUAUUUUGUUGGUUGCGGGCCGAGGUAAUGAUUAAUAGGGAUAGUUGGGGGUAUUCAUAUUUAAUUGUCAGAGGUGAAAUUCUUGGAUUUAUUAAAGAUGAACUACUGCGAAAGCAUUUACCAGGGAUGUGCCCUUUAA